Molecule: long non-coding RNA, 4894 nt
Organism: Gallus gallus (chicken)
Lineage: Eukaryota; Metazoa; Chordata; Aves; Galliformes; Phasianidae
Source: Ensembl
CGAGGGAGAGCGGCUGAAAGAUGGGUGAAGUGAGUUCCACGUGGGGAUGAACGGACUCCUCGCGAAACCCCGGCUGAGUCCGACAGAAAUCAGUCGGUGCUGCGUGCGAGAACGUCUCGUUUACACUUCGCAAAACAGCCGGUGGUUUUCUGAGCGCAAUACUGAGCAAAACUCCUUUGAUCGCUUCAGGGCUGAAGGGAGCCUCGCUUGCCGGGGCACAGUGGGGAGGGACGGGGAGCCCAACCCCCCGUGGCACCGGGAAUGGGAAGAAAGCGGGGUUUUGUGUGGCCUCAGCUGCGAGAGUAGAGAGCGUCACUGGCGGGAGAGCAGCAGCCCUCAGCCCGCUGAGGGAUCCCAGCGCGCUCCAGAGCAGCGGGGUCACGGCCGCGGCCAGGCGAGGUGCUGCUUCUCCCCUGGCAGCACGAGAGAAUCCAAAGCUGGGAACACCAGGUCCCUUCGUGUGCAAGAUUAGUCUUUUCUUGCCUGCUGUAUGUUUAAAAUGUAAUGUGUUCUGAACCUUCUGGGACCUAACUCGCAGCUCCACAGGUAAGCUCCAAAAAUACGGGGCUUCCUCCUGCUGCACCGCACCACCAGCAGCAACCACGUCCUUCUUCUCUAUUCACAGGAUUCUGUUACCGAUGAGUCCGCGUGCGCAACCUCUCAUCAAACGCAAGAGGUGCUCCCAGGAUCUCAGCAUCUCUCUCCCAUGGCAGGGACGGGAUAGGCAGCACGAGGGGAAGUUGCUUAUAAGCACCGUCGUGUAGCGUCAGAGCUGCAGGUUUGAAAGCUCUGAGAGCCAACCUCACAGAACCUUCCUGCUCUGAAGCACCAGCACCUUGCUCAUUCACAAAAUCACUCUGAGGAAGAAGGCAAAAUGAAUUUUUGCAUUAGGGACACAUCACUGGUUUCUCCGUAGUGCUGAUAACACAACUUUAGUGAAAAUCUCGGACCUUUUGCUACACAGAAUAACCAUGUUGCCCUGAAUGGUUAUUGUUUAGUGAAACAUCUGAAAACACAUAAUAGACUACUUGUUUGCAACGCUUGCUAUAGAUUUUGUAAUGAAGUGCCGUUGCGCUGCAUCAAUUUGACAGUUCGAGUUGAUAAUUUGACAGAAAGAUUAAUCCUAAACUCCCAGCAUAAACAGAAUUCCCUUUAAUGUCAGAAGGGACUUUGUAACUGCCAGCCCAAACGCUGCGGAUGGGCUUCAGCAGGUUACAGAGAGCGUCUUCAGGAUCAAAUUUGACAUUCCUCUUCCUGACUAACAGUUGGUAGUUGAAAAUAGAACACCUCUCCCAGUUCUGAAUUCUGACCCUCACUUCUUGCUCACCCAAACCGAGGACUUCCAGACUUCUUUUCCCAAACGCUCACCGCGAAGGCUUUUGAAUGCAGAUGUUCACUCGUGUCUCCUGACAGUAGGCUCAGUUUUCUCAGCUACUUUUAGUAAGCUCCUAAAAACAGCCCACGGUCCCUCAGAACCUCAUCAACAACUGGCUAAAAGCCACGGUCUCACUGUAUCCUUUUUUCUUUUGGUAUCUACUGCAGACUUUGGACGGGUACAGAAGUUCUACCUCUCUGGGUCCAGGUCUCUCUGUCUGACAGCACAUUAUUUCUGCAGCUGUCACAUGUCCUCAUUUUCUAGAGCUGUUAUUACCUUUACAUAAUACGUAUUAUUAUAUUACAUAUUCUUCAGAAGUUGUUCUUCCAGUGGCAACAUAUGGAGGACCAUCAACCGUCAAGACGGAAGUUCAUGCAACUGUCAAGACUGAAUUUCAUGCAUUCAGAAUGCUUAGGCACCAUCUGACACUCGUAGAGACCCUAACGUUAAAUACAUCUACUGAACUGUGACAGCACACAUUUCUUGUGUGAAAGCCUAUAUUUCUGAUAAGGAAACCUGGUUCAGCAGCGCUCAAUGUGGAUUCUGGAUAACAUCUUAAAGAGGCCAACCAGCCAUUCCGUGCAUACAGAAACACGCCUGUGAACUUCUCCCUGCAGUCAGCUCCUUCAGCUCCCCACUUCCACGCCAGUGAUGUUAUUUCACCCACACCUUGCAGAAGGGGCGCAUUCCACUCAUUCCUGAGCUGGGACGAGCGCCCGCAGCAUUACUCACCCACAGCAGUGUCUGUAGAUCCCUGUCUGCUGUGGAUACUAAUCUCAAUCCAGAGCUUCCUCAGACGAUUAGAGGCUGUUCUGCAAAAUGUCAAUACGCAGCCUCUCCGAAGCCAACACGGUGUGGUGGUUGAAAUGGGAGCCGUGGAGGCUUUCCAAAUAUGAAGGUCUGGAAAUGUUUGGAGGUAUUUUAAUAUUGAUGAAUACUUCAGAUUUUUUUUUUUUUUUUCUGUUGCUUCGGUGUAUCAGUGUCAAAUCUGUGUGGAUUAAUGGCAAGACAGUGCCCUAGUACCAUUCGUGUCUAUCAAAGUUCUGGCAAAUGCUAACAACUUACUGCUAUUAAUGAUCACUCUUUGCCCAGAAGUUCACAUAAUUCAUCAAAAAGCCAACAUUGAUAAGCAGAAAGAAAUUAAAUACUUCUGAGUCUUCUGUUAAAAUGCCUUUCUUUUUACUUUGUUUAACAUCUAAUGUCUCCUAUGGCAAAAGUAAGUAAGGGGAAGUCUUUUCCUUCUUCAGCAUGAAAGAGCACCCACACCACUCAAAAACAGUUGAGAUUAAACCUUUGAAAAGGUAUCAGCAGUGUGUGUAAAGCCAAAUUGGUAAAGUGUGCUCUAGACACCACUUUUGACUCUGGGGAAAAUGCUUUAUCAUCUGUCUACUGCUAUGCUCUGCCUAUUCAUCACCAUUACUCAGUAACUCUGCGGUGGCAGCUUUGUACUUAACAUGAAGCCAAAGAUCAGGGAGAGGCACACAUCAAACAAGACUUGAACUUGGAGAUGGCAAACCAUACGUUCUAGACCUCAUUCCUUUAAAGGACCGUACCUCGGAAUGAAACCUGUGAGCCUUCUCUAUAGUUUCAUUUGUUCAAUACAGUGCUCCACUUGUUCUGUAAAAGAAGUUGGCAAAAGCCCUGCUCUCCUGAGAUCUUGUCAUUCAUUGUGACUGAAACCUAAAAGGCUGCCCUAUGGUAGUAGGGCAGGUCUGGGGUACCCGAGAGACCUACCUGCUCCCUGUGCCUCCAUUCCACAUUCUUCACACACCUUGAAACCAAGGAACUGUCAAACACAGAAGCAAAGAUGGUGAGGGGUGUACACCCCCAUUCUUUGCAGCUUUCCAUGGCUGUAAAGCUCCCUGUGAAGCGACCUGAGAAUAUGUACAAUGACAGAAAACUCAUUUCUUCACCCGCCAUUUCCCAACAACAGCCAGUUCCAGCCCUUGUCAUUCUUCUACUUCUCCACACAGACGAAGGCAGGAGAGAAUUCUCUUGGUUUAACUUUAAUAAAUGGUGCUUGCUUUCCUGCCAGCAUCUCACCAGAAUCCUGCAUGACAGGUGAUUCAAUCUCUUGAUCUCAGUUAGAUUUACACGAAUUUUACGCACCCUAAUAUAUAAUGGCAAUGCAUUCACACUGCUGUGGCUAAAAGUCUGUCGAAAUCCCAAACACAUCAUGAGAAUACAUAACAAAUAUAUUCAGGACUAGAACAUGUCAUAUAUUAUCAGCACAGGAAAACAUUCUUUGUUCUUAGAAUCAAAGAACAGCGGAGACUGAAAGGCUCUUGUGAAGAGGAACCUAACUUCCCUCCUCAAUGAUGUUUCUACACACCGAUGAAAUGCCCCCUGAGCCUCCUCCAGGUUGAGCAGACUUGGAUCUCUGAGCCUCUUCUCUUACAUCAGAUGGUGAGAAAUCAUAGGAAGAGACACAAGGAGGCGAAAUGUAUGUGCUUCACCCUGAUAGGAUGCAGCCACAAGGGCUGAGGAUGCUGGCAGAAGUGACUGCCAAACUACUCUCUAUCAUUUUUGAAAGGAGAUCAUGGAGAAUGGGAGAGGUGCCUGAAGGCUGGAGAAAAACUGAUGUCACAAAGGGCAAGAAGGAGGACCUGUGAAACUAAAGGCCAGUCAGCCUCACAUCCAUACCCAGGAAGGUGAUGGAACAACUUACAUGCAACCUGCUCUAGGGAAACUGCUUUAGCAGUGGCGUUGCACUAGAUGAUCUCCAAAGCUUCCUUCCAGCCCUGUGAUUCUGUGAUUGUGUGAUUCUGUGAUACUUUAGAAUGUCACUGUCCGAACUAGAACCCAGUUCUUAUGUCCUGUAGGACAGCCCUGCCACUGCUGGAACACGUAAUGUAAAAUUUUUGCUGGGGGAAAACAAGAGAGUCUCCCUUUGGACUAGCUUGACUUUGAGCUCACUCACGAAAAACCAAUGACCUUUGAAAGAAUACAGAGAUGGCACCACUGACAGAUUUUUCCCCAGUUGGCUGCAAAUAAAGUUUUUUGAAAUAACUGCUAAAGCUGUAAUUUAUCAGACUUUUUCACAGAUUCCACAAAAGCUAGGAAACUCGAAAGGCUUUCUCCAGGCAGAACAUGCCAGUCAUUUGUGCAUGAAUUGCAAGAGGGGAAAUUAUAUGUUUCUUUUAGAGCUGUUGUUGCCAUCGUGGAAAGUGAACAAGCAUCUGUGCUUCAGAAAUCAGUGGAAGGAAGGUGUUCCGUGAAAGAGAGCAUGUGGGAAAGCGACUUGAAAUUGUGAGAGUAUAUGAAAGUAGCAGGAGUUCUGAAUGCCACUGGGGAGAAGAACUGGAACAAGGCUGACACAUGGAAAGGUGGUGAGAAAGCAAAAAGAAAUGUAAAGAGGAAUAUACUGAAGGGGGAAAAAAGAGAGAGAGAGAGAGAGAGAGAGAGAGAAAAAUUUGGCUAGGGAAUAGGUCUGAGCAAAUUCCAAAAGUGAGAGAGGAACAGAAAAAGAAGGAAAAAAUAUAGGGCAGAUGGAAGGUUUAUCUGUUGGAUAACUGUGCA